This is a long non-coding RNA of Ceratosolen solmsi marchali, 117 nucleotides long. RefSeq lists it as uncharacterized. Lineage: Eukaryota; Metazoa; Arthropoda; Insecta; Hymenoptera; Agaonidae. The record is from RefSeq and is a predicted model, not a curated record. The transcript has 3 exons.
UUUCACUGUCAUAUAUUUUUCAGGAUUCAUCACCCGAUGAACCUCAGAAAUAUCAGAUUAAAUCAGCUGGCGCAUUGGCUGCAGAAGAGAAAAACACAUCGGAUGAUGAACACGAGG